RNAcentral lists this long non-coding RNA (249 nucleotides) under Lathyrus oleraceus (garden pea). Its description in RNAcentral is "Pisum sativum (pea) long non-coding RNA (PSAT_LNC031851)". The record is from RNAcentral. Lineage: Eukaryota; Viridiplantae; Streptophyta; Magnoliopsida; Fabales; Fabaceae.
GUUGAGAAGGUGUAAACCAUAAUCCACCAAAAUGGAUGAUUGAUAUUGAGGAUGACUUGAGCCAUCCCGUGACCUUUGUGUGGUGUGACUUGCUUGAUCCUUCAGUGUGAUUUAGACAUAAAGAAGCAAUGAGAAAAUUUUCAAGGAACUUAAGAGGUCUAUUUGCAAAUUUUUAGACAUGAAGAAGCAAAGAAGGAAUACGAAGAAGUACAGUUUCAGAAAACCCGACUUGAAAGAGUUAAGGAGUUU